GCAAUAUAGUAUGAUGAUUGUUAAUUAGAAAUAUAAAAUUUUUAAACUCUAAUUUGUUAAAAAUGGUAUGUGCUUGAAGAUUGGAGCUCGAAGAACAUAAGAUUUGCCUGGGCACAUAUUAAGUUGAAGAACUGAUCAUCAGUUAGAAGCUGAUACUUGAAAAGAUAAGUUUUUUAUUGUUGUGCCAAAUAUAACUUAUUUAAUUUUCUUAAUUUGUUCAUUAUCUCAAUUUCUAUUUCUCUGUCAGUACUUCUACCUCAUCUUUACCAAACAGUAAUUUUGAAGUAACUCCACCAUGCAACUUAAUAAAAUUAAAGAUUAGCUACUAACCCUGUCAUGAAAUUAUUUAGAGUUGAGGUAGAGGUACGGACCUAGGAAAUAGAAAUUGAGACAGCCAACAAAAUAUAGU
Molecule: long non-coding RNA, 409 nt
Filed under: Ricinus communis (castor bean)
Lineage: Eukaryota; Viridiplantae; Streptophyta; Magnoliopsida; Malpighiales; Euphorbiaceae
Description: long non-coding RNA (RCOM_LNC003574)
Source: RNAcentral